GAUGAACGCUGGCGGCGUGCCUAAUACAUGUAAGUCGAGCGAACGGACGAGAAGCUUGCUUCUCUGAUGUUAGCGGCGGACGGGUGAGUAACACGUGGAUAACCUACCUAUAAGACUGGGAUAACUUCGGGAAACCGGAGCUAAUACCGGAUAAUAUUUUGAACCGCAUGGUUCAAAAGUGAAAGACGGUCUUGCUGUCACUUAUAGAUGGAUCCGCGCUGCAUUAGCUAGUUGGUAAGGUAACGGCUUACCAAGGCAACGAUGCAUAGCCGACCUGAGAGGGUAGUCGGCCACACUGGAGCUGAAACACGGUCCAGACUCUUACUGGAGGCGGCAGUAGGGAAUCUUCCGCAAUGGGCGAAAGCCUGACGAAGCAACGCCGCGUGAGUGAUGAAGGUCUUCGGAUCGUAAAACUCUGUUAUUAGGGAAGAACAUAUGUGUAAGUAACUGUGCACAUCUUGACGGUACCUAAUCAGAAAGGCACGGCUAACUACGUG
This 497-nucleotide ribosomal RNA is filed under the name uncultured bacterium. RNAcentral's name for it is "partial 16S ribosomal RNA". It matches the Rfam family "Bacterial small subunit ribosomal RNA", at positions 28 to 507 of the family's 1533-position model. The record is from RNAcentral.